AAUGGGGGAAACCCUGAUGCAGCCAUGCCGCGUGUGUGAAGAAGGCCUUCGGGUUGUAAAGCACUUUCAGUUGUGAGGAAAGGUUAACGGUUAAUACCCGUUAGCUGUGACGUUAGCAACAGAAGAAGGACCGGCUAACUCCGUGCCAGCAGCCGCGGUAAUACGGAGGGUCCGAGCGUUAAUCGGAAUUACUGGGCGUAAAGCGCACGCAGGCGGUUUGUUAAGCUAGAUGUGAAAGCCCUGGGCUCAACCUGGGAAUUGCAUUUAGAACUGGCAGGCUAGAGUUUUGGAGAGGGGAGUGGAAUUCCAGGUGUAGCGGUGAAAUGCGUAGAUAUCUGGAGGAACAUCAGUGGCGAAGGCGACUCCCUGGUCAGUAACUGACGCUCAUGUGCGAAAGUGUGGGUAGCGAACAGGAUU
Molecule: ribosomal RNA, 417 nt
Filed under: uncultured Gammaproteobacteria bacterium
Lineage: Bacteria; Pseudomonadati; Pseudomonadota; Gammaproteobacteria
Description: bacterial SSU rRNA
Rfam family: Bacterial small subunit ribosomal RNA
Source: RNAcentral